UCUGGACAUGCCAGAUAUAUUCAAAUUAACAGACUCUUUUAAAUGAAAAGAGUGAAGACUUGGAUACAGUGAGAGUUAGAAAGAAGCUUAUGCAGGCAGGGAACUCCAUAUUUCUUACAGACAUAGGAAGAACUGGCUUCUCAGUUGGGAGAUAAGGAACCACAAACUUACAGAAACCAUAGAUAUUUCCACCUUUGACUCACCAUGCAGACUACAGCAGAAGAGUAGUAUUUGGACUUGGUUUCUUCAUCUUGCUAAGUUAGGUAUCUGAAUUCAGAAUAUUACAAUUUUUAAAAAUGAAACAAGGUCAUAUGUAACAAUAGCUUUUGGUGUCACUGUGAUUCUAUCAUGAAUCUAUAACUGUGACCCUAGAAACUCACAUCUAAUUACAUUAACCAUAGAUUUGGAAAUCUUCUCCUGGGUAUGAACUAUGUU
This 435-nucleotide long non-coding RNA is filed under the name Oryctolagus cuniculus (rabbit). Its description in RNAcentral is "lncRNA (ENSOCUG00000035592.1)". The record is from RNAcentral. Lineage: Eukaryota; Metazoa; Chordata; Mammalia; Lagomorpha; Leporidae.